UCUAAUACCGGAUACUGACCCGCUUGGGCAUCCAAGCGGUUCGAAAGCUCCGGCGGUGCAGGAUGAGCCCGCGGCCUAUCAGCUUGUUGGUGAGGUAAUGGCUCACCAAGGCGACGACGGGUAGCCGGCCUGAGAGGGCGACCGGCCACACUGGGACUGAGACACGGCCCAGACUCCUACGGGAGGCAGCAGUGGGGAAUAUUGCACAAUGGGCGAAAGCCUGAUGCAGCGACGCCGCGUGAGGGAUGACGGCCUUCGGGUUGUAAACCUCUUUCAGCAGGGAAGAAGCGAAAGUGACGGUACCUGCAGAAGAAGCGCCGGCUAACUACGUGCCAGCAGCCGCGGUAAUACGUAGGGCGCGAGCGUUGUCCGGAAUUAUUGGGCGUAAAGAGCUCGUAGGCGGCUUGUCACGUCGGUUGUGAAAGCCCGGGGCUUAACCCCGGGUCUGCAGUCGAUACGGGCAGGCUAGAGUUCGGUAGGGGAGAUCGGAAUUCCUGGUGUAGCGGUGAAAUGCGCAGAUAUCAGGAGGAACACCGGUGGCGAAGGCGGAUCUCUGGGCCGAUACUGACGCU
This 572-nucleotide ribosomal RNA is filed under the name Streptomyces sp. 8CM48. RNAcentral's name for it is "bacterial SSU rRNA". It matches the Rfam family "Bacterial small subunit ribosomal RNA", at positions 162 to 747 of the family's 1533-position model. Lineage: Bacteria; Bacillati; Actinomycetota; Actinomycetes; Kitasatosporales; Streptomycetaceae. The record is from RNAcentral.